This 714-nucleotide long non-coding RNA is filed under the name Chrysolophus pictus (golden pheasant). RNAcentral's name for it is "lncRNA (ENSCPIG00010010269.1)". The record is from RNAcentral. Lineage: Eukaryota; Metazoa; Chordata; Aves; Galliformes; Phasianidae.
AUCUGACUCCAAGGCAUUGAAGGCUACUUAGGAUCUACUAAGGGUUUGACAUCUCUCUGAAUACCCAAAGCACAAGGGAAAAUGACAGAGUUACGUACUAGAAAACAAAUAUCAGUACAUGCAAGACUUUGUGUAUUAUUUUGCAAGCACACUUGUUUGGAUAAAGAUUGAGAAAGAGUUUGAAGAAAGCUUUGAGAUAAUGGGCUGUGGAAGACAGAAGAGUGAACCAGUCUCCUUCCUUGUUCUUCAGUUCAGACGAUCAUUAGUUUGGACAACUGGAGGAUGGAGAUCCCAGGACAUACUGAAAGAUCAAGUCUAAUCCUGAAGAUCAGCAAAUCUGAAAAUGUGGGAACAGAACAACCACCAACCAAAAAAAACGCUAACCGCUACAGAAACACAGGCACAAGGCAUACAGUUUACGUUAACGCUAAGAGAGGAACAAGACUGACCUACUUGAAGGAGAGGAGAAAACAGCACCAGCUGAAGGAUCUGGGGACUGUCCGCCACCCCUUCUGCCAGAUGGUGAAAUCUGUGUCCUUCAUGAAGUGGCUCCACACUGCUGGGUGCGCACCCUUCCAGCAGUAAUUAUGAGGGAUAAACAUAGCUGUAUACAGUCAAUUCCCUAUUAAGCAUCCUGUUAUUUAACGUUGAACUGAUGCAGAGCUUAAUGACUCACUGCUUUCUGACAAAUAAUAAAUAUACCACACAGAGGCA